RNAcentral lists this unclassified non-coding RNA (220 nucleotides) under Hevea brasiliensis (rubber tree). The record is from RNAcentral. Lineage: Eukaryota; Viridiplantae; Streptophyta; Magnoliopsida; Malpighiales; Euphorbiaceae.
AGAGAGAGAGAGAGAGAGAGAAUGCUUGCAAAGCAAACAAAAACCUAGGAAGAUUAUCAAUAAGUGAGCACAACAAGAAAAUAUUUCCCAAAACCCCUUAACAAGAAGAUGAAAUACAUCAACCGGCAAGCUCUAAAGUCUAUAAAUCUGCAAAGUGUCAAUAAAGUAGAUUUAGUAGGAAACAUACUGUUAGAAUGGAUGAGAUUUUACUUUAAUUUAU